Pelobates cultripes (western spadefoot toad) is the source of this 231-nucleotide non-coding RNA. The record is from the annotation of a GenBank genome assembly. Lineage: Eukaryota; Metazoa; Chordata; Amphibia; Anura; Pelobatidae.
GAAACGUGUUUAUAGUAUGAAGUGGAUGAACAAACAUUUGUAUUUAUCUAUAAGAUUAUGGCGUGUGCAGACUCUACUAUGCAAUGCAUCUUUCAAUAUGUUUAUUAACUGGGUGAUACAUUUGAUAUGUUAAAUCUCGUGAAGUUGCAUUACUCAGCUAUUUGCAUCAGAAACUGGGUUCAGGAUAUAAUUGAUUAUAUUUACUUUGUUGGUUUUUUAACUAUAGUUUAG